UACGUAGGGUGCGAGCGUUAAUCGGAAUUACUGGGCGUAAAGCGUGCGCAGGCGGUUUGUUAAGUCCGCUGUGAAAGCCCCGGGCUCAACCUGGGAAUGGCAGUGGAAACUAGCGAGCUAGAGUGUGGCAGAGGGGGGUGGAAUUCCACGUGUAGCAGUGAAAUGCGUAGAGAUGUGGAGGAACACCAGUGGCGAAGGCGACUACCUGGCCUGUUCUUGACGCUGAGGCGCGAAAGCUAGGGGAGCAAACGGG
Molecule: ribosomal RNA, 253 nt
Filed under: uncultured bacterium
Lineage: Bacteria
Description: partial 16S ribosomal RNA
Rfam family: Bacterial small subunit ribosomal RNA
Source: RNAcentral